This is a long non-coding RNA of Triticum aestivum (bread wheat), 1749 nucleotides long. RefSeq lists it as uncharacterized. The record is from RefSeq and is a predicted model, not a curated record. Lineage: Eukaryota; Viridiplantae; Streptophyta; Magnoliopsida; Poales; Poaceae. The transcript has 4 exons.
UCAAUACAAUUCUAGCAUGGAUAAUAAACGAUUAUCAUGAAUAAGGAAAUAUAAUAAUAACCUAUUUAUUAUUGCCUCUAGCGCAUAUUUCCAACAGCAGCAUACAUACAUAUUACAAUUUUGCAUUUUAAAUUUGAAGACUAAGGCAACGCCCGAUCGAUGUAAUUGGUGGUGAAUAUCUGUUUUCUUGUUUGUAUUUAAUCUUAGAAAACAGAAUCUCAUCAAGAGAAAAUCCGUAGGCAUUGCAGUCCAAUUAUUCUAGGGAUUGGAACCAUACAUGUGACUGAAUACUGCUUGGAACAUGUGAUUUUGCAAAGUUUACGUACAUGCACCUUCGUGGGUGAUACAACUUCUCUAUGUUUGUACCUCCUUGUCAUUCAAAUUUUACAAACUUUAUGAAUAAAAAGUAGAAAGUAAUGUUCUCACUUUUCUUUUUAUGACCUUCAUUAUCUCAGUCUCAACAACAUCCAGGAGAUGUACCUAUGUAGCUACUGUAAGUUCAAAAGCUUUAUUUCACAAGUUGGCAAUACGAUAUUCAGGUACUUAAGCAGGUGUUAUAGUUCUAAUUUACUUUUGUCUCAUAACACUUGGUCUCAUAAACACUAGAGACUGCAGCCCAGUGUUGCUCAUAGCACACUUAUACUUAUUCUGAUUUCUGAUGGCCUCCUAAAUUUGAAUUAUUGUCUUGAUGGCAGGUGGAGGACCUUUGCAAUAUUAUCUAGAUUUACGCCAAACUGGCACUCUUACUUGAUCCCGUAUUUACUCGUUCAAACAAUUUGUGCACAAAGUUGAGGAAGCUGGGGCCAGUAAUCAUGUUAGAAUAAACUUCUUUCUUCCUUUUAACAGUUUGUUUCCAUAAUGUGGGACAGCAGGAUCUGAGUCCCACUAUGAGGGACCGACCUUUAGAGAUCAGCUACCGGCGUCAUACUGCCCCUGCAAGGCACCACAUGGAAGCCUCCUCUUUGAUUUUAGCAACAAUCACUCCCACUGACACCGCGGUGUUGCGAAAAAUAGGAGGAUUCCUCUCCUUCAAAAUUUCCCACGAGAUAAUCAUCAUUAGAGCCUGAUAGUUCUUCUCUCCUCAAGUCUCAGAUCCAUUUUCAUCACCCUUUGCCUUUUAAGGUCUGUUCUUCUUCCGGGAUUGCAGAGAGCAUGGAUCGCCAUAUGGAAGGAGAUGCCAUCCUUACUGUCGUUGUCUUUGGCAUGUUGCUGCCAUCUUUCUAAUCCUUGCACUGUAGAUACCUCAGUCUAUCCAUGGUUCAUAACUGUUACCUUGCUACACCUGCACAUGUGGAAAACUUAAACUUGGCAGUCUAAAAUUAAGCAGCAAACUUAAUUGCCGGUCAUCGAAAAAUUCAGUGACAACAGCUGGCACACGAGCUUCAUUUUUUAGUAGAGAUAGUAGAUGAUGCAGAUGACAGUUCUACCUCUUUGACUGAAACAAGAACUUUCUCACCAAGGGCAUACCUACAAGACAGGGGCAUACCAGCAAGAUAGCAGGAGGUCCUCAGGCACCCAUCACACAUUCACCAAAGAUAUGGAGCUACCAUUUUAGAUUAGUACUAGCAUAUUGGUACAUAGUGUGUGUGUUUUAGCAUAUUAGUAGUAGCAUACGUGCAGGAGGUCCUAAGUUUGUUCAGUUUUAUACAAAUUUGUGUUGGUAUGUAGUGUUGAGAGGAUCCUAAAAUAUUGUACUACAUAAUCUCUUUCCAGGUUCUUGAAAACUUGCACUCUUCUAUUGAAUUUCAC